This 445-nucleotide ribosomal RNA is filed under the name uncultured bacterium. Its description in RNAcentral is "bacterial SSU rRNA". It matches the Rfam family "Bacterial small subunit ribosomal RNA", at positions 354 to 796 of the family's 1533-position model. The record is from RNAcentral.
GUGAGGAAUAUUGGUCAAUGGACGAGAGUCUGAACCAGCCAAGUAGCGUGAAGGAUGACUGCCCUAUGGGUUGUAAACUUCUUUUAUAAGGGAAUAAAGUGCACCACGUGUGGUGUUUUGUAUGUACCUUAUGAAUAAGGAUCGGCUAACUCCGUGCCAGCAGCCGCGGUAAUACGGAGGAUCCGAGCGUUAUCCGGAUUUAUUGGGUUUAAAGGGAGCGUAGGCGGCAGGUUAAGUCAGUUGUGAAAGUUUGCGGCUCAACCGUAAAAUUGCAGUUGAUACUGGCCUGCUUGAGUGCGGCAGAGGCAGGCGGAAUUUGUGGUGUAGCGGUGAAAUGCUUAGAUAUCACGAAGAACUCCGAUUGCGAAGGCAGCUUGCUGGAGCGUAACUGACGCUGAUGCUCGAAAGUGCGGGUAUCAAACAGGAUUAGAAACCCUAGUAGUCC